RNAcentral lists this long non-coding RNA (330 nucleotides) under Homo sapiens (human). RNAcentral describes it as "non-protein coding lnc-DAD1-2:22". The record is from RNAcentral. Lineage: Eukaryota; Metazoa; Chordata; Mammalia; Primates; Hominidae.
GACAGCCUCAGACUCAGGGCUGGGACCCUUGGGACUCAAAAGAGAGAAAAGGUGGAGAAAAGAGAAAGCUACUAUUUUCUUCAUUUUGCCCCUGCUAACAUCCAAUGCACUUAGGAGCCUCGAUGUCUGCUCUCCAAGAGUGGAGAGAGGAUGCCAGACAGAUAUUUGAGCAGAACAAAGAGAGCCAACAGGAUGAAGGCAUUCCCUGGCUGGUUGGACAAGCAACUGAAGAACAGGAACAGAAGUGAAUGAAAAGAGAAGAUGCUGUGUUUGUGUUUUCUCUUGGUUAGAAUGCUGUGAGUCAGGACCUUAGCUGCUGGGUGUCCUGGG